GGCAUUCACUGCAUAUCCUCUUAGAGGGGCUGCAUGCUGUGUUACUGGAAAUAAGUUAUCACUGCUUUUAGAGACACAAAAUAAGCUGCUAGACUGAUGUCCGAUGAUGCCCAAUGGGUCUUACAUGGCUUCCUAAAGGAAGAUAGGGUUCCUUCUUCCACUCCCUGGUAGAUGGCAAAAGGACAAAGACAGCAAACCAGUGUGAGCGUAAUCACUUAGAGGAAUGCAUGCAGCUCUCACCUGGAAGAGGACGGGAAGGACAGUUUGGCCCAAGGGACAAACCCAGACUCACCACAUUACAGCAGUGGCAAAUACAGUGUCCUAUUAACAGCACUCUAGAAAGAAUAGGAAGAUUUGUCUUCCAUACAUGUUCAGAGCAUUUCCAGGGACUAUCAUCAAGAAUACAGCCCUUAAAUUGUAAGCGUGUUGCCAUAUGG
Molecule: long non-coding RNA, 437 nt
Filed under: Athene cunicularia (burrowing owl)
Lineage: Eukaryota; Metazoa; Chordata; Aves; Strigiformes; Strigidae
Description: lncRNA (ENSACUG00000004158.1)
Source: RNAcentral